GAGGUUUACAAGCAGACUUUCGAAAAAGCCUUCCUCCUUUCCCUCUGACAACACCGGUCAGUGGGACUGGUCCAGCUAGUGACUCCCCAGAUAUACACGACUCUACACGAAAUGGCACCAGCUGUAUAACUAAGUGGCCUUAGUGCUCCUCUGCUGGAAAAAGUUGGUUAGAAGAGGAGCUGAUUGGUAGAAGACUGGAGGUGAAAAUGGAAUCAUAAUUUAGGUACCAAGGAAAACUCUCAUCAAGUCCUUCUGAUGAUCACACACUAGGAGACUCUCGCAGAACAAAAACAAAUGCAAGGGACCCAGCAUCUGGAAUUGUCCGCCUUGUGAGGCAGAGCUCGCCCCCCAAUCUAGAAGCUUAAAUCAACAGAAACUCUCUGCCCACCGUUGCAGCCAGCACCAGGGUGUAGGCUCUGUUAAUCAGAUGCACUGGCUCCUGUUUUAAUGGGAACCCACUGACUUGAAGAAGGAAGAACUCUAAGAAAUCUACUCUGGGAGUGAGGCAGCGGCUGUUACCUUUUCAUACUCUCAGAAAAAAAAAAUGCCCUGCACAGCUUGGACAGCUAAGCAACAUUACCCCCACCACUGACGGCUGAAAUACCGACAUUGCAUCUACACAGAGUUGGCUGUGAACAAAGCAGGAUGCAGCGCAGCACGUCAGGGGCCCGCUGCUGCGCAAAGGGCCAGGGUUUGCAGGUCAGCUCUUCCCUCCCACAGGCUGUGGCUUGUGUUCUGGUCUUUUCUACAUGUCUUCUCAUUCCGGCACUCAGGACAAGGAAGCAGUCAUUAUCUGGUGCUUGCCGUUUCCAUGGUUGAGGACAGGAGCUCAAGGAGGGCAGAGACAAACCACGCACAGGCAUUUGCUUCUGUUGCAGCAAAUGUUGGAGGUGGCAUAUGUCAGGUUUGCUCCCAUUCCAUUAUUUAAAGGCAGUCUCGCGGCCAAGUUCACAGUCAAUGCGGAUCUGCCAGGACAUCACAGCAAGUUGGAGAGGAGAUGAAUAAUUACAAACAAAUAGUUGUUACAUAGUCUAUUUUUGUGUGUUUGUUCUUUGGCGAUGGAGUCAUUAAAUCAGAAGGGCUACAAAAUGGUGCUGUUUUAAUCCUACCAUUUUUUCUAUCUUUAUGAGCUGGGAUAGUGUAUAAAGAGGAACUUCUCUUUAACUAUUUGUCUUAAGCUACAGUUUGUAAAGGAAAGGCAAGAUGAACACUUGAUGCUUUCUCUUUAAUUGCUUAUUAUUAAAAUAAAGUUGCUCCUGUCUUUCAAAGAGACUCAUGAGUACUUUGAAGUGGGGGUGUCCUUGUGAACUCAUGGAUUUAUAUAUAUUUGACACAUUUCAAUCUAUUGACGUUAUCCUUAUGGAUGCUAGCUUUGUUAAAUGAUCGCAUCGUCGACCAUUGGGAGCCUAUUCAAGUUCCUGACUCCCUUGACCAUGAUCCUCGCGGUCUUGCACCCUGUCUUUGCUUUCUGGUAUGAGAUAUUUCAGGUUCGUCCUGUUCAUUUUCUGCCCCAGACCUGGAAUCUGACAUUUCUCCAAGGAACUAGUUUCUUUUGGUGGAAAAUGGUAUUUAGAGUCUAUAAUCUUGGCACUAGAAGUGUUCUUUGCAACUGGGUUAGUCAUUGUUUCUAGGCCUUUUUAGUGUACAGAGUUUUAAAAAAUGUAUUUUGAUUUUAGAUAAAAAUACAUCGUGAGUUCAUAUUAGUAUUUCCAAUCCAAAGUCAGGGUUUUUGCCUGG
Equus caballus (horse) is the source of this 1737-nucleotide long non-coding RNA. RefSeq lists it as uncharacterized. The record is from RefSeq and is a predicted model, not a curated record. Lineage: Eukaryota; Metazoa; Chordata; Mammalia; Perissodactyla; Equidae.